AGAGUUUGAUCAUGGCUCAGAAUCAACGCUGGCGGCGUGCCUAACACAUGCAAGUCGAACGCGAAAGGGGCUUCGGCCCUGAGUAGAGUGGCGAACGGGUGAGUAACACGUGGGUGACCUACCUUCGAAUGGGGGAUAACGUCCCGAAAGGGACGCUAAUACCGCAUAACAUCCUGCCUUUGAACAGGUGGAGAUCAAAGCCGGGGAUCGCAAGACCUGGCGUUUGAAGAGGGGCCCGCGCCUGAUUAGCUAGUUGGUGAGGUAACGGCUCACCAAGGCGACGAUCAGUAUCCGGCCUGAGAGGGCGGACGGACACACUGGGACUGAGACACGGCCCAGACUCCUACGGGAGGCAGCAGUGGGGAAUUGUUCGCAAUGGGCGCAAGCCUGACGACGCAACGCCGCGUGGAGGAUGAAGGUCUUCGGAUUGUAAACUCCUGUUGCCCGGGACGAAAUGCUUCGACCUAACACGUCGAAGUUUGACGGUACCGGGUGAGGAAGCCCCGGCUAACUCUGUGCCAGCAGCCGCGGUAAUACAGAGGGGGCAAGCGUUGUUCGGAAUUACUGGGCGUAAAGGGCGCGUAGGCGGCCUUCUAAGUCAUGCGUGAAAUCCCCGGGCUCAACCCGGGAACUGCGUCUGAUACUGGAGGGCUUGAAUCCGGGAGAGGGAUGUGGAAUUCCAGGUGUAGCGGUGAAAUGC
This 700-nucleotide ribosomal RNA is filed under the name uncultured bacterium. Its description in RNAcentral is "bacterial SSU rRNA". It matches the Rfam family "Bacterial small subunit ribosomal RNA", at positions 8 to 689 of the family's 1533-position model. The record is from RNAcentral.